UGCAGUCGAGCGACUGAUUAGAAGCUUGCUUCUAUGACGUUAGCGGCGGACGGGUGAGUAACACGUGGGCAACCUGCCUGUAAGACUGGGAUAACUUCGGGAAACCGAAGCUAAUACCGGAUAGGAUCUUCUCCUUCAUGGGAGAUGAUUGAAAGAUGGUUUCGGCUAUCACUUACAGAUGGGCCCGCGGUGCAUUAGCUAGUUGGUGAGGUAACGGCUCACCAAGGCAACGAUGCAUAGCCGACCUGAGAGGGUGAUCGGCCACACUGGGACUGAGACACAGCCCAGACUCNUACGGGAGGCAGCAGUAGGGAAUCUUCCGCAAUGGACGAAAGUCUGACGGAGCAACGCCGCGUGAGUGAUGAAGGCUUUCGGGUCGUAAAACUCUGUUGUUAGGGAAGAACAAGUACGAGAGUAACUGCUCGUACCUUGACGGUACCUAACCAGAAAGCCACGGCUAACUACGUGCCAGCAGCCGCGGUAAUACGUAGGUGGCAAGCGUUAUCCGGAAUUAUUGGGCGUAAAGCGCGCGCAGGCGGUUUCUUAAGUCUGAUGUGAAAGCCCACGGCUCAACCGUGGAGGGUCAUUGGAAACUGGGGAACUUGAGUGCAGAAGAGAAAAGCGGAAUUCCACGUGUAGCGGUGAAAUGCGUAGAGAUGUGGAGGAACAC
RNAcentral lists this ribosomal RNA (670 nucleotides) under uncultured bacterium. RNAcentral describes it as "bacterial SSU rRNA". It matches the Rfam family "Bacterial small subunit ribosomal RNA", at positions 56 to 709 of the family's 1533-position model. The record is from RNAcentral.